Molecule: transfer RNA, 112 nt
Filed under: Massilia sp. Dwa41.01b
Lineage: Bacteria; Pseudomonadati; Pseudomonadota; Betaproteobacteria; Burkholderiales; Oxalobacteraceae
Also listed under: 1 other name
Description: tRNA-Arg
Source: RNAcentral
UCGCGCUGGUGGUGCGGCAGAACACGGCCGGCAUCGAACCGGUGGCGCGCGUCGUCGGUUUCCUGCAGGGGGCCGGCUACCGCGUCGUGUUCGAAUCCGACACCGCGGCCCA